UCUCCGUAGGUGAACCUGCGGAGGGUUCAUUACUGAGUGAGGGCCUUCCCGGCCCGACCUCCAACCCUUUGUGAACACAACUUGUUGCUUCGGGGGCGACCCUGCCGUUUCGACGGCGAGCGCCCCCGGAGGCCUUCCAACACUGCAUCUUUGCGUCGGAGUUUAAAACAAAUUAAACAAAACUUUCAACAACGGAUCUCUUGGUUCGGGCAUCGAUGAAGAACGCAGC
RNAcentral lists this unclassified non-coding RNA (229 nucleotides) under uncultured fungus. Its description in RNAcentral is "sequence contains ITS1, 5.8S rRNA gene". The stretch from base 181 to 229 matches the Rfam family "5.8S ribosomal RNA", at positions 1 to 49 of the family's 154-position model. The record is from RNAcentral. Lineage: Eukaryota; Fungi.